RNAcentral lists this ribosomal RNA (403 nucleotides) under uncultured bacterium. RNAcentral describes it as "bacterial SSU rRNA". It matches the Rfam family "Bacterial small subunit ribosomal RNA", at positions 355 to 775 of the family's 1533-position model. The record is from RNAcentral.
UGGGGAAUAUUGGACAAUGGGCGAAAGCCUGAUCCAGCAAUGCCGCGUGAGUGAUGAAGGCCUUAGGGUUGUAAAGCUCUUUUACCCGGGAUGAUAAUGACAGUACCGGGAGAAUAAGCCCCGGCUAACUUCGUGCCAGCAGCCGCGGUAAUACGAGGGGAGCUAGCGUUGUUCGGAAUUACUGGGCGUAAAGCGCGCGUAGGCGGUUUUUUAAGUCAGAGGUGAAAGCCCGGGGCUCAACCCCGGAAUAGCCUUUGAAACUGGAAAACUAGAAUCUUGGAGAGGUCAGUGGAAUUCCGAGUGUAGAGGUGAAAUUCGUAGAUAUUCGGAAGAACACCAGUGGCGAAGGCGACUGACUGGACAAGUAUUGACGCUGAGGUGCGAAAGCGUGGGGAGCAAACAG